RNAcentral lists this ribosomal RNA (253 nucleotides) under uncultured bacterium. Its description in RNAcentral is "partial 16S ribosomal RNA". It matches the Rfam family "Bacterial small subunit ribosomal RNA", at positions 524 to 776 of the family's 1533-position model. The record is from RNAcentral.
UACGAAGGGGGCUAGCGUUGCUCGGAAUCACUGGGCGUAAAGGGUGCGUAGGCGGGUUUUUAAGUCAGGGGUGAAAUCCUGGAGCUCAACUCCAGGACUGCCUUUGAUACUGAAGAUCUUGAGUCCGGGAGAGGUGAGUGGAACUGCGAGUGUAGAGGUGAAAUUCGUAGAUAUUCGCAAGAACACCAGUGGCGAAGGCGGCUCACUGGCCCGGUACUGACGCUGAGGCACGAAAGCGUGGGGAGCAAACAGG